Molecule: ribosomal RNA, 505 nt
Filed under: uncultured bacterium
Lineage: Bacteria
Description: partial 16S ribosomal RNA
Rfam family: Bacterial small subunit ribosomal RNA
Source: RNAcentral
GACGAACGCUGGCGGCGUGCCUAAUACAUGCAAGUCGAACGCACAGUUUAUACCGUUGCUUGCUACACGAUAGACUGUGAGUUGCGAAUGAGUGAGUAACGCGUAGGUAACCUGCCUGGUAGCGCGUGGUAACUCUUGGAAACGUUAGCUAAUACAUCAUAAUAUUCAUUAUUGCAUGAUAAUUAAUUGAAAUGUUCAAUUGCACCACUACCAGAUGGCCCUGCGUUGUAUUAGCUAGUAGGUGAGGUAACGGCUCACCUAGGCGACGGUACACAGGCGACCUGGGGGGGGGGUCGGCCAAACCGGGACUGGGAAACGGCCCAGAACCCUUCGGGGGGGAGCAGUAGGGAAACCUCGGGAAUGGAGGAAAGUCCGACCGGGGAACGCCGGGUGAGGGAAGAAGGUUUUCGGAUCGUAAAGACCUGUUGUAAGGGAAGAAAGGGUGGGGGAGUGGAAAGUUCACACUGUGACGGUACCUUACCAGAAAGCGACGGCUAACUACGUG